AAAUCGUUCGACGAGGAUCUAUUGGAGGGCAAGUCUGGUGCCAGCAGCCGCGGUAAUUCCAGCUCCAAUAGCGUAUAUUAAAGUUGUUGCAGUUAAAAAGCUCGUCGUUGGAUCUGGGGUUCGGGUCGGCGGUUUGCCGCUUCGGCGGCUACUGCCGUGCUCGACUCUUACUAGCCGGUGCGUCUUGCGGUGCUCUUCAUCGAGUGCCGUAGGAGCCUGGCAUGUUUUACUUUGAAAAAAUUAGAGUGCUCAAAGCAGGCGAUUCCGCCUGAAUAGUGUUGCAUGGAAUAAUGGAAUAGGACCUCGGUUCUAUUUUGUUGGUUUUCGGAACUUGAGGUAAUGAUUAAGAGGGACGGUCGGGGGCAUUCGUAUUUCGGUGUUAGAGGUGAAAUUCUUGGAUCGCUGAAAGACGGACAAAUGCGAAAGCAUCUGCCAAGAACGUCUCCAUUAAUCAAGAACGAAAGUCAGAGGUUCGAAGACGAUCAGACACCGUCCUAGUUCUGACCAUAAACGAUGCCAACUAGCGAUCCGCAGUGGUUGCUAUAAACGGACUCUGCGAGCAGCUUCCGGGAAACCAAAGUGUUUGGGUUCCGGGGGAAGUAUGGUUGCAAAGCUGAAACUUAAAGGAAUUGACGGAAGGGCACCACCAGGAGUGGAGCCUGCGGCUUAAUUUGACCCAACACGGGGAAACUCACCCGGUCCGGACACUGUAAGGAUUGACAGAUCGAGAGCUCUUUCUUGAUUCGGUGGAUGGUGGUGCAAGGCCGUUCUUAGUUGGUGGAGUGAUUUGUCUGGUUAAUUCCGAUAACGAACGAGACUCUAGCCUGCUAACUAGUUGCGCCGUGUUCAUACGCGGCUGUAGACUUCUUAGAGGGACAGGUGGCGUUUAGCCACACGAAAUUGAGCAAUAACAGGUCUGUGAUGCCCUUAGAUGUCCGGGGCCGCACGCGCGCUACACUGAAGGAGUCAGCGUGUGCUAUCCGGGCUCGGAAGAGUUCGGUAACCCGUUGAAACUCCUUCGUGCUUGGGAUUGUGGCUUGUAAUUAUCGCGCAUGAACGAGGAAUUCCCAGUAAGUGCAAGUCAUCAGCUUGCGCUGACUACGUCCCUGCCCUUUGUACACACCGCCCGUCGCUACUACCGAUUGAAUGGUUUAGCAAGGUACUCGGAUUGGUCUCGAUCUUGUACGAAAGUGCGGGAUCUGUGGCCGAGAAGAAGGCCAAACUUGAUCAUUUAGAGGAAGUAAA
This 1245-nucleotide ribosomal RNA is filed under the name metagenome. RNAcentral's name for it is "SSU rRNA". It matches the Rfam family "Eukaryotic small subunit ribosomal RNA", at positions 527 to 1786 of the family's 1831-position model. The record is from RNAcentral.